Sipha flava (yellow sugarcane aphid) is the source of this 2692-nucleotide long non-coding RNA. RefSeq lists it as uncharacterized. The transcript has 3 exons. The record is from RefSeq and is a predicted model, not a curated record. NCBI's taxonomy places the organism in Eukaryota, Metazoa, Arthropoda, Insecta, Hemiptera, Aphididae.
UCAAAUUAUAUUUAUAAACUGUUUCAGAUGGAAUGCGGAAUUCUAUAUUUUCGGUCAACGUAAUGUGUGCGCCGGUAUUACGGGAUCCACGUCCGAGGACCCCUUGUGGUCAUCAUCAUCUUUACCGCGGACCGUAUAAAACAUUGAUUACGAAAUCAUUGGCAUCCGCGUACAUUAUGUAAACGUGGCGGUCAAACGGAAUUUUAGUGUAGAUGAGGGUUAGACGUAUUAAAUUAUAAUUCUAACGAUUUUGCAUACAUUUCAGCGAAACGGAUACUGCGACAGUGCCCAUUAAUCAGAUUACACUGUACAUAUAUUAUGCACACGUGCCACGAAAUAGGAAUGUUACCAUUGCCGUGGGCGUGCCCAGAAAUUUUCCAAAGGGCAUGUGCGUUAGUUUAUAUUAGGGGUUCCUUGGUUCACUAUUGUCCACGAAGAUAAGUAUUCCGUCCAUGCGUAUGAUAAUAAUUAAAACCUAGCUUAUAGAUAUGUUUGUUUACACACAGUUAAAUUGGCAAAGGAAAUCAAAUAAAUUCGAGAUUUUAAUUUAAUAUUAUUCUUUGGCAGUCUUAUUUGUUAUCUGCAUGUUACCUGUGUGUAGCUUAAAAACAAUUUUUGAUCAAUAAUUAGUGAACACGUAAAUAGUUACACGUUAUUUAUUUGUACGUCGUCAUAAUAUAUUGUACAAUACAUUUUGAUUUCCGUUAAUAAUCAUAAAAAUAUUUUUUAAUUAAUCAAAAAUGUAACAGUACCCGGGCACAACCAUUUGUAGCUGUCCUCCUCCCUCUUUGUGCAUUUGGCUAUGACGACUACUUGAAGGGUAGUGAGUGGAGUUAUUAUAAUAUUUAAACAACACAGUCAUUUAGAUCUAGGAUCUUGUCACAAUAAUUAUUAUACAUUAAUACCAUAAUAGAUAGAUGAUGAUUUACUUGUAACGUGCGUAAAGGUGCGAAUUCGAUCACUGGUGAAGAAAGCAAGUGACACUAUAGCCCUAUAUGGUGAUUGUUAUCUCCUAUUUUUACCACGAAAUUCGACUGAUGAAUAUUUUGCGUGUGCCAUAUGUAUAAAAUAUAAUCCAUUAUUUUUUUUUUUCGCUGGUACAAUCGAAAAAAUUUAAACUCGAUGAUAUUAUUUGAUCGUUAUAAUAAUCAACGGUUUUCGAUUCUUUGGAAUUAUUUUUCUCAUUUGCGUUUUCACUACAACGGUCAUUAUUUAUUAUUUAAGCGUGAUUAACGCUCGUAAAUAUCCCGCCGAAUACUUGAACUCUCCACAGAAAUAUAACCAGGUCACGUAUGCAAACUAGGAUUCGGUGAAUUAGAUUUUAAAAAUAAUGAAAAAAAAAAAAACAUGUACCAAAAACCGUUUAGUUAUGGUUACGUUGAAAUUUGACGUAUAUAAAAAAUCGUACUUCCUCCGUAGAGUAAACGAUGUCUUAUGAAUCCGUUUACAGACCACUAUUGCGAUACGUAUGUGCAUAUAUUGGUCCGCGGUUUGCGCGUGAGGUUCAAUCGGUGUCGGGCGCCUCGUCGAUUACGGUAAUCCAAGCUUUAACCAUAACGGCCGAAAAAAAGCGCAAAGUCGACCGGAUUCCCGUGAAAAAAAAAAUAAAUAAAUAAAAGGAAAACCGAUCUCCAACAGAGCCUCGAUCACUCGCCUCGAGACUACGGCGGUGCUAUUCGGAAUCGCAAACAUAGGCGCCGACCUUAAGACAUUAGUGCGGGAGCAAAUUAUGUUAGAUAUUAUUAUGUUUUAUGUGUUUUUUUUUUUUUUUUGUGUUAUUAUUAUAUUACAUAAACAAAUACAUAAUGUGAUAUUUUAAACAAAUAAUUAUUAAUCAAUGUGCACGGGGGCGACAAUCGAGCGUUUUGGGCGCACGUGGAUGGAGACCGGCUGGCACGGAAUGUUUUCGAAAAGGAUUGGCCGACGUACCUGCAAUGAUGCGAUUUUUGUCCCGUCGAAACCGAUUUCGGCACGCCUCGAGCACGUGUGCACGCUGCUGCCAAACACAAUAUUGUGGUCGUGGUUUUCAAAUGUCGCUCACGUUCAUGCACAACACGUGACGGAACCACGAGAAGUCGCCAACGGCUGUGGGACGCGUACGAUUCCGAUAUUAUAAUAAUACGUGAACGCGCGAUCCUUUUUCGCUGAGUAAAUCCUUUUUCGUCGUGCGCCCCAUUGUCCACCCGAACAAUGUCGUGGUAGCCACUGCGCAUCUGCCGUUCCUGAAUACCUGUCAGUCGGAAACGAUACCAACACCCGUUCGUUUCUAAGCUGGACACACGCGGGCGAUAACUACCGAAUUCCCCGAAGGUAACUACCGAGCUAAACGUUACAUCGAGUAAGUGUGGACUUUAGCAAUAUGAAGCUGAAACUGAUCACGAUAACUCAUGGCUACAAACAAUCUGUGUCUACGAACCCUACCUCCUGGUCAUGAAUACAAAUAUCCCAUUUGAAAAUCACUGAACAGAGAGACUCAGAACCGGUGUAGCUUGCUGCAAAGUUAACACAAAAGAACUGGGAACUACUGAUGGAAAUACGACCAAGAGUACUCGUACGCCUGGACUACACAUGCUCCGAAAAAUCCCUUAUACAGGGGAAUCAAAACGCAUUUGACGUAUCCCAACACUGGGCAAAGACUGUUUAACAUUUAUAUCACCAUCAACAACAUUACCAGAGCGAAUUGUAAUUUAUA